Molecule: ribosomal RNA, 468 nt
Filed under: uncultured bacterium
Lineage: Bacteria
Description: partial 16S ribosomal RNA
Rfam family: Bacterial small subunit ribosomal RNA
Source: RNAcentral
GACGAACGCUGGCGGCGUGCUUAACACAUGCAAGUCGAACGGAAAGGCCCUGCUUUUGUGGGGUGCUCGAGUGGCGAACGGGUGAGUAACACGUGAGUAACCUGCCCUUGACUUUGGGAUAACUUCAGUAAACUGGGGCUAAUACCGGAUAGGAGCUCCUGCUGCAUGGUGUGGGUUGGAAAGUUUCGGCGGUUGGGGAUGGACUCGCGGCUUAUCAGCUUGUUGGUGGGGUAGUGGCUUACCAAGGCUUUGACGGGUAGCCGGCCUGAGAGGGUGACCGGCCAAAUUGGGACUGAGAUACGGCCCAGACUCGUACGGGAGGCAGCAGUGGGGAAUAUUGCACAAUGGGCGGAAGCCUGAUGCAGCAACGCCGCGUGCGGGAUGACGGCCUUCGGGUUGUAAACCGCUUUCGCCUGUGACGAAGCGUGAGUGACGGUAAUGGGUAAAGAAGCACCGGCUAACUACGUG